This 958-nucleotide ribosomal RNA is filed under the name Corallococcus exiguus. RNAcentral describes it as "bacterial SSU rRNA". It matches the Rfam family "Bacterial small subunit ribosomal RNA", at positions 63 to 1002 of the family's 1533-position model. The record is from RNAcentral. Lineage: Bacteria; Pseudomonadati; Myxococcota; Myxococcia; Myxococcales; Myxococcaceae.
CGAGCGCGAAUGGGGCAACCCUAGUAGAGCGGCGCACGGGUGCGUAACACGUGGAUAAUCUGCCUGGAUGCCUGGGAUAACCAGUCGAAAGAUUGGCUAAUACCGGAUAAGCCCACGGUCUCUUCGGAGGCUGAGGGAAAAGGUGGCCUCUGUAUACAAGCUAUCACAACCAGAUGAGUCCGCGGCCCAUCAGCUAGUUGGCGGGGUAAUGGCCCACCAAGGCAACGACGGGUAGCUGGUCUGAGAGGACGAUCAGCCACACUGGAACUGAGACACGGUCCAGACUCCUACGGGAGGCAGCAGUGGGGAAUUUUGCGCAAUGGGCGAAAGCCUGACGCAGCAACGCCGCGUGUGUGAUGAAGGUCUUUGGAUUGUAAAGCACUUUCGACCGGGACGAAAACCCGAAGCCCAAUACGCUUCGGCUUGACGGUACCGGGAGAAGAAGCACCGGCUAACUCUGUGCCAGCAGCCGCGGUAAUACAGAGGGUGCAAGCGUUGUUCGGAAUUAUUGGGCGUAAAGCGCGCGUAGGCGGCUUUGCAAGUCGGGUGUGAAAGCCCUCAGCUCAACUGAGGAAGUGCGCCCGAAACUGCAGAGCUUGAGUGCCGGAGAGGGUGGCGGAAUUCCCCAAGUAGAGGUGAAAUUCGUAGAUAUGGGGAGGAACACCGGUGGCGAAGGCGGCCACCUGGACGGUCACUGACGCUGAGGCGCGAAAGCGUGGGUAGCAAACAGGAUUAGAUACCCUGGUAGUCCACGCCGUAAACGAUGAGAACUAGGUGUCGUGGGAGUUGACCCCCGCGGUGCCGUAGCUAACGCAUUAAGUUCUCCGCCUGGGAAGUACGGUCGCAAGACUAAAACUCAAAGGAAUGGACGGGGGCCCGCACAAGCGGUGGAGCAUGUGGUUUAAUUCGACGCCACGCGCAGAACCUUACCUGGGCUUGACUUCCCUCGAAAUCCUUC